This 208-nucleotide long non-coding RNA is filed under the name Lathyrus oleraceus (garden pea). RNAcentral's name for it is "Pisum sativum (pea) long non-coding RNA (PSAT_LNC000142)". The record is from RNAcentral. Lineage: Eukaryota; Viridiplantae; Streptophyta; Magnoliopsida; Fabales; Fabaceae.
UUUUCUCACCCUUUUGUUCCAAGCCCAACUUCUCAUUUCAACUUAAUGGCCUUAUAUCUUAAUUACUUGUCUGCACCCCCUUUCAUUUUUCUUUUAUUAUUUAAUAUUUGUUUCUUUUGUUUUUUCAUGUAAAAUACCCCUACUAAUCUAAAAAUCUUCAAUUAACUCAUGAGUGAUCUUUUGAGUUUUAUUUAUUUUUCCAUUUUUU